RNAcentral lists this non-coding RNA (31 nucleotides) under Rattus norvegicus (Norway rat). The record is from RNAcentral. Lineage: Eukaryota; Metazoa; Chordata; Mammalia; Rodentia; Muridae.
UAUGUCUGAGAACAGAGGACAGAGCCUCAGA